Molecule: unclassified non-coding RNA, 229 nt
Filed under: Glomeraceae sp.
Lineage: Eukaryota; Fungi; Glomeromycota; Glomeromycetes; Glomerales; Glomeraceae
Description: partial contains 5.8S ribosomal RNA and internal transcribed spacer 2
Rfam family: 5.8S ribosomal RNA (bases 1-71)
Source: RNAcentral
GUGAAUCAUCAAAUUUUUGAACGCAAAUUGCACUCUCUGGUAUUCCGGAGAGUAUGCCUGUUUGAGGGUCAGUAUAAAUAAAAAUCGAGGUGUUGCUUAUGGUGACGCCAUCGGAAUUGGGUUAUCUUUAAUUUUAAUAAAGGUUUAAAGUGACCUAAAAUUGAUGAUAUCUUGUGUAUUUCAAGUUGUACAUAAGAAUUUUUUUUUUAUCUGUUUGGUGUUUGUCAAA